RNAcentral lists this transfer RNA (64 nucleotides) under Otobius megnini. RNAcentral describes it as "tRNA-Tyr". It matches the Rfam family "tRNA". Rfam says of the family: Transfer RNA (tRNA) molecules are approximately 80 nucleotides in length. The record is from RNAcentral. Lineage: Eukaryota; Metazoa; Arthropoda; Arachnida; Ixodida; Argasidae.
GGUAAAAUGGCUGAUAAAGGUGAUAAAUUGUAAAUUUAUUAAUGAAGUAAACUCUCUUUUACUA